RNAcentral lists this long non-coding RNA (673 nucleotides) under Carica papaya (papaya). Its description in RNAcentral is "long non-coding RNA (CPAP_LNC013293)". Lineage: Eukaryota; Viridiplantae; Streptophyta; Magnoliopsida; Brassicales; Caricaceae. The record is from RNAcentral.
UCACUAUCAAAAAAUAUCCAAAAUCCACUACUACCAAAAAAGGUGCAUGUUAAACAUCUUAAUAAGGUUAAAUAAAAAAUGAUAUCAGAACAUAAACCACACAACCUAUUAGCUAACACACAAGGAUGGAACAAGAUAAUAAUAAAAUAAAGCAAGUGAGAAAAAGAUAUAUCACCAUGGAUCAAUAUGUUACGCAAUUCAAGCAGUAAGAAAGAAGAAGAAUAAGAUGAUGAUUAUGAGUAUUGCAUAUGUUCCAUCAACCAAGGCAAAUGAAAAGUAUGCAGAAUAUGAACCGCUAAAACAAUCAUACAAAUCACACAGGUUGCAAGCUUAUCAAGAUCAUAAUGCCAAAAGAACAUUGUCUUUGAGACAGGAUUAUGCAGGACGAGUAUAAGUGUAGUGGAACUCAGCAGCAGGGUGUCGGAACUUUGCCCCACAAAGAAUAUCCACAUUGAUAUGCCACUAAACUUUACUGACUGUUUUUCAACACAUAGAUGUAAAGUAUAGCAUAGAAUAUUAGUUUUGUAGAAUGCAGUAGAAAAUAACAACGAUUCUAUUAAUCCCUCCUAUCCACACUAUUAGAACUUACUUCUUCCCUCAAGAAGCUCCACUGGUGGACCAAGCACAACAGAGCAACCAAGCAGGCAUAUUAAGAGUGGAACACAAAGAACGA